This is a non-coding RNA of Erythranthe guttata (spotted monkey flower), 436 nucleotides long. The record is from RefSeq and is a predicted model, not a curated record. NCBI's taxonomy places the organism in Eukaryota, Viridiplantae, Streptophyta, Magnoliopsida, Lamiales, Phrymaceae.
AGCCAAAGUAGAAGAAGAAACCUCUUCUUCUAAUUCAAGCCUUCUCCAUUAAAUCUCUUCCUUCUUCUUCUUCUUCUCGUUUUUCUUUCAUAAAUUCCUAGCUAGGAUAGUUCUUCAUCUCCAAAAGGAGAUUCUUCAACCAAGAAGGGAUUCUCUAGUGGGUUUCAAAUAUAUACAAAGCCUUUCAAAUUCUCAAAGACCCUAAUGUAACGCAUGAUCCGAAUCCGAGGAGCAAAGUUGAACCAAGUUCGGGGAAAGCCGAGGGAUCGAGCCGUAUGGAAUAUAUGUGGAUUUUAAUAAACUUCCGUUUUGGUACUUGAAUCUUCUUAGUGGAUUGUAAUCCGUAAUACUUGAAUAUUUUAUCGGGAAACCAGUUUAACCCUUAUGUAUAAUGUAAUGUUUUCCGACUAUUCUUGUUAUUUUCUAAUGUUGAUUU